Long non-coding RNA from Thalassophryne amazonica, 270 nucleotides. RefSeq lists it as uncharacterized. The transcript has 4 exons. The record is from RefSeq and is a predicted model, not a curated record. NCBI's taxonomy places the organism in Eukaryota, Metazoa, Chordata, Actinopteri, Batrachoidiformes, Batrachoididae.
GGAAUCUCCGUAUUUCCAGUCCCAUCAAAAUCAUCAACUUUGAGUCUCAUUACGCCAAACUACACGCUGACUCCAACUACCUGCUGUCAGAGGAAUAUGAGGACCUGAAAGACGUUGGCCGGAACCAGCCUCUGGACACAGCCCUGCUGCCUGAGAACCGUGGAAAGAACCGCUACAACAAUAUUCUGCCCUAUGACUCGACGCGGGUGAAGCUGUCCUAUGUGGAUGAUGACCCCUGCUCUGACUACAUCAACGCCAGCUACAUCCCUG